UAACUGUUCUGUUCCAAAAAAAUGGUGUGUUUAUAAAUAAAUAACAUAACCUGCUUCACAUCGUUUUCUUCCAGUGGGAGGCUGCCCUGCAGACCUUGGGAUUUUCCUGUUCCUAGUCAACAGAGAAACAAAUUCACUUCAGUCUCCCUAAGCUGCCGUUAUGGCUUUCUGUGAAAGCCUGUGAAAAUAAAAAUAUCACAGACAAAAAUAACGCUCCCUCAUUCUAAGUGUGGAGUGUCUCAGUGCAUAUUUGGCACAUCCUCUGAGGCUGCAUCAACAACAGGCAGAAACAAGCUGCUGUAAAGGGCGAAUCAUAGAGACAAAUAGCGCUUGGUGUCUUGUCCUGUGUCUGCCAGGACUUCUGAGAUGAAUCAUAGAAUCGUUACGACUGGAAAAGACCACUAAGAUCAUCUAAUCCAACCACAAACACAUUCCCUCCAUGACCACAAACUCUGUCCCUCAGUGCCACACCUGCUCUGUUCUGAGAUAUAUUCCAAGGGCUCCUAAGUUACAAGUUCUGAGCAGACCAUCGCACAGCACACCUUUCAGGCUGUGUGCUUUGCUAUAUGGUGUAUGCCUUCACAAGAGCCUUCCACAAGCUGUGCAGAGCAGUGACACCUUUAACCAACGCAAAGGCAGCCCGAGCUCCGUGGGAUGGAACCAGCAGCAUUUAGACGGCUGCAAGUGAUGCACACCACCACGACAAACGUUUCUUUCCCCGAGGCACCAGAUGGCAGCAUUUUUCCUUUCUCCAAAGUGUGAUCUCUUCCUCUCAGAUUCACUUUCUGGGACCACCGCAUCAGGCUAUGAGACUGUGGAGGCCACAAAGGCUUCAGCUGGACUAGACCUUCUCCAUCAUCACCCGUUUUGUGGGAAUUCUUCAGUCACACAGCCCUAAGCCCUCCUUUUUCCCCUCCCUCCCGUGUCUUUGCUUAUAAAUCCAGUGCUGCUUUAUCAUUGCUUUUUGUCACAGGAAAAAAAAAUCAUCCACGUCAGCUGCAACAAGCUCAGUUCCCAAGUCACUCACCUUUGAGCUGCAGCACUAUGGGACAAAUGUGCGUUUGUGUGAGUUGCAUGACUAGAGCUUCAGCAGGCAGCAGAAGAAAGGCUGUUUAUCCACAAAAGGGAUGGGAUGGCCCCCGGGGCUGAGGGAGGAGCAGCCCUGGCUUUUUUUUUUUUCCCCCCCUUCUCUGUUACUCUGUGGGGUUGUGGUGUAUCUGCUGUGGUUAGUUGCUCUGUCACUGCUUUACAGCUGCUAUGAGCUCACCAGUGGACAAUUUGUGGGUUCUUUAACUUCUGACGAGCAGCCAGUUGUUUUUCUAGAGAAUGUGUGACAAGGGAUUUUCUAAUUUUUCAGCUUUCGGCCAAAUUCAAUGGGAGUGCCAUAGGACAGGGAAGCAGUGGUGGACCCUCCUCAACUCCACCCUUUCUCUUCUUACUUAAUACCAAAAAAUUAUCUAUAAACAGGCAAGACGGAGGGAAGAGCAUUCCUCAAAGAGAGCCAUAAGAAUCCUGUACAAUGACAAUGUUAAACUGAGAUUUUUGGAAAAUGGUGCUAUUUUAUUCGGUUAAAAAUAUUCUAAUGAAAAAAAGCCCUCAAUGUUAUUUCACUUUCUCAUGCCAAUUUCUUCCAGUUUUGGAUUUGUCUACUCAUUGGUUACAGCUAAUUUAUGCAGACAAGAUGGACUCAGCUUUACUGCCUGAGCUAUGCAAAAUAUGUGCAAUAGAAAUAUGUUGGAAAUUCACCUGAAAGCUGAGUGGAAUUUCAUCACUUCAAGUCAAUUGUACAGGUACCAUCUUCCUUUUAAAUAAAGAAGAAAAAUAAUUUUAAAUAUAUCUCCACAGUAUAUAAUGAUCAAUGCAAUUCCUUAUGUGCACUUGCUUUGCAAAAUGGAAAAAAAAAAACAAAAACUUUUUAAUCUAAUUAUAGCUCUGUAGCUACUAACUAGCACCUUCUCUGAGAAACAGUUGCCCAUGAUGAGCUUUGCAAGAAGAGAGAUGUUGAGAUGGUUUAAAAAAAAAAAAAAAAGCAUCUGAUAUCUAUCAGUAUGGAUUAUUACAGCUUGCCAUUAUUUAUUUUGGAAUUGUGACAACUGACCAAAACAUAGGGACUAUGAAUAGGAACGCAAGGAGUGAUUAAGUGCACAAGAAGAGAGGAAAAAAAAAAAAAAGCAAUAUUAUUUGGCACGCAGCAAAUGUUAUAUCUGGUGUACAGCUGUCUGUGCAACUCCCACUGCUCUUUCGGAGGAUUUCUGUGAUUUCCCACUAAGGUACCUCUGCUGAUAGAGACUUAGGAACAGCUCCAUCUCUAUAAGCUUUGAUUCUUAGCAAGCUGGUAAGAUAGAUGUGUUAAUCCUUUACAUAUGAAAGAUGCAAGUGUCCUCCUACACAUACAUUACAGAGAGAAGCUUUGUUUGUUUUAUGAUGGGUAACUGCUAUGUACCGUUCGCUGUCUCUAUCUUGCAUAGUAAGUGAAAUUACUGUUGAAACAAGCUGAUUAAAUCUGAGAUUCCCCUUG
Molecule: long non-coding RNA, 2518 nt
Organism: Numida meleagris (helmeted guineafowl)
Lineage: Eukaryota; Metazoa; Chordata; Aves; Galliformes; Numididae
Exons: 2
Source: RefSeq, a predicted model, not a curated record